This 425-nucleotide ribosomal RNA is filed under the name uncultured bacterium. RNAcentral describes it as "bacterial SSU rRNA". It matches the Rfam family "Bacterial small subunit ribosomal RNA", at positions 356 to 773 of the family's 1533-position model. The record is from RNAcentral.
AGGGAAUCUUCCACAAUGGACGAAAGUCUGAUGGAGCAACGCCGCGUGAGCGAAGAAGGUCUUCGGAUCGUAAAGCUCUGUUGUUAGGGAAGAACAAGUACCGGAGUAACUGUCGGUACCUUGACGGUACCUAACCAGAAAGCCACGGCUAACUACGUGCCAGCAGCCGCGGUAAUACGUAGGUGGCAAGCGUUGUCCGGAAUCAUUGGGCGUAAAGCGCGCGCAGGCGGUCCUUUAAGUCUGAUGUGAAAUCUUGCGGCUCAACCGUAAGCGGUCAUUGGAAACUGGGGGACUUGAGUGCAGGAGAGGAAAGCGGAAUUCCAUGUGUAGCGGUGAAAUGCGUAGAGAUAUGGAGGAACACCAGUGGCGAAGGCGGCUUUCUGGCCUGUAACUGACGCUGAGGCGCGAAAGCGUGGGGAGCAAAC